GGUUAAGCGACUAAGCGUACACGGUGGAUGCCCUGGCAGUCAGAGGCGAUGAAGGACGUGUUAAUCUGCGAUAAGCGUCGGUAAGGUGAUAUGAACCGUUAUAACCGGCGAUUUCCGAAUGGGGAAACCCAGUGUGUUUCGACACACUAUCAUUAACUGAAUCCAUAGGUUAAUGAGGCGAACCGGGGGAACUGAAACAUCUAAGUACCCCGAGGAAAAGAAAUCAACCGAGAUUCCCCCAGUAGCGGCGAGCGAACGGGGAGCAGCCCAGAGCCUGAAUCAGUAUGUGUGUUAGUGGAAGCGUCUGGAAAGGCGCGCGAUACAGGGUGACAGCCCCGUACACAAAAAUGCACAUGCUGUGAGCUCGAUGAGUAGGGCGGGACACGUGGUAUCCUGUCUGAAUAUGGGGGGACCAUCCUCCAAGGCUAAAUACUCCUGACUGACCGAUAGUGAACCAGUACCGUGAGGGAAAGGCGAAAAGAACCCCGGCGAGGGGAGUGAAAAAGAACCUGAAACCGUGUACGUACAAGCAGUGGGAGCACGCUUAGGCGUGUGACUGCGUACCUUUUGUAUAAUGGGUCAGCGACUUAUAUUCUGUAGCAAGGUUAACCGAAUAGGGGAGCCGAAGGGAAACCGAGUCUUAACUGGGCGUUAAGUUGCAGGGUAUAGACCCGAAACCCGGUGAUCUAGCCAUGGGCAGGUUGAAGGUUGGGUAACACUAACUGGAGGACCGAACCGACUAAUGUUGAAAAAUUAGCGGAUGACUUGUGGCUGGGGGUGAAAGGCCAAUCAAACCGGGAGAUAGCUGGUUCUCCCCGAAAGCUAUUUAGGUAGCGCCUCGUGAAUUCAUCUCCGGGGGUAGAGCACUGUUUCGGCAAGGGGGUCAUCCCGACUUACCAACCCGAUGCAAACUGCGAAUACCGGAGAAUGUUAUCACGGGAGACACACGGCGGGUGCUAACGUCCGUCGUGAAGAGGGAAACAACCCAGACCGCCAGCUAAGGUCCCAAAGUCAUGGUUAAGUGGGAAACGAUGUGGGAAGGCCCAGACAGCCAGGAUGUUGGCUUAGAAGCAGCCAUCAUUUAAAGAAAGCGUAAUAGCUCACUGGUCGAGUCGGCCUGCGCGGAAGAUGUAACGGGGCUAAACCAUGCACCGAAGCUGCGGCAGCGACACUAUGUGUUGUUGGGUAGGGGAGCGUUCUGUAAGCCUGUGAAGGUGUGCUGUGAGGCAUGCUGGAGGUAUCAGAAGUGCGAAUGCUGACAUAAGUAACGAUAAAGCGGGUGAAAAGCCCGCUCGCCGGAAGACCAAGGGUUCCUGUCCAACGUUAAUCGGGGCAGGGUGAGUCGACCCCUAAGGCGAGGCCGAAAGGCGUAGUCGAUGGGAAACAGGUUAAUAUUCCUGUACUUGGUGUUACUGCGAAGGGGGGACGGAGAAGGCUAUGUUGGCCGGGCGACGGUUGUCCCGGUUUAAGCGUGUAGGCUGGUUUUCCAGGCAAAUCCGGAAAAUCAAGGCUGAGGCGUGAUGACGAGGCACUACGGUGCUGAAGCAACAAAUGCCCUGCUUCCAGGAAAAGCCUCUAAGCAUCAGGUAACAUCAAAUCGUACCCCAAACCGACACAGGUGGUCAGGUAGAGAAUACCAAGGCGCUUGAGAGAACUCGGGUGAAGGAACUAGGCAAAAUGGUGCCGUAACUUCGGGAGAAGGCACGCUGAUAUGUAGGUGAAGUCCCUCGCGGAUGGAGCUGAAAUCAGUCGAAGAUACCAGCUGGCUGCAACUGUUUAUUAAAAACACAGCACUGUGCAAACACGAAAGUGGACGUAUACGGUGUGACGCCUGCCCGGUGCCGGAAGGUUAAUUGAUGGGGUUAGCCGCAAGGCGAAGCUCUUGAUCGAAGCCCCGGUAAACGGCGGCCGUAACUAUAACGGUCCUAAGGUAGCGAAAUUCCUUGUCGGGUAAGUUCCGACCUGCACGAAUGGCGUAAUGAUGGCCAGGCUGUCUCCACCCGAGACUCAGUGAAAUUGAACUCGCUGUGAAGAUGCAGUGUACCCGCGGCAAGACGGAAAGACCCCGUGAACCUUUACUAUAGCUUGACACUGAACAUUGAGCCUUGAUGUGUAGGAUAGGUGGGAGGCUUUGAAGUGUGGACGCCAGUCUGCAUGGAGCCGACCUUGAAAUACCACCCUUUAAUGUUUGAUGUUCUAACGUUGACCCGUAAUCCGGGUUGCGGACAGUGUCUGGUGGGUAGUUUGACUGGGGCGGUCUCCUCCUAAAGAGUAACGGAGGAGCACGAAGGUUGGCUAAUCCUGGUCGGACAUCAGGAGGUUAGUGCAAUGGCAUAAGCCAGCUUGACUGCGAGCGUGACGGCGCGAGCAGGUGCGAAAGCAGGUCAUAGUGAUCCGGUGGUUCUGAAUGGAAGGGCCAUCGCUCAACGGAUAAAAGGUACUCCGGGGAUAACAGGCUGAUACCGCCCAAGAGUUCAUAUCGACGGCGGUGUUUGGCACCUCGAUGUCGGCUCAUCACAUCCUGGGGCUGAAGUAGGUCCCAAGGGUAUGGCUGUUCGCCAUUUAAAGUGGUACGCGAGCUGGGUUUAGAACGUCGUGAGACAGUUCGGUCCCUAUCUGCCGUGGGCGCUGGAGAACUGAGGGGGGCUGCUCCUAGUACGAGAGGACCGGAGUGGACGCAUCACUGGUGUUCGGGUUGUCAUGCCAAUGGCACUGCCCGGUAGCUAAAUGCGGAAGAGAUAAGUGCUGAAAGCAUCUAAGCACGAAACUUGCCCCGAGAUGAGUUCUCCCUGACUCCUUGAGAGUCCUGAAGGAACGUUGAAGACGACGACGUUGAUAGGCCGGGUGUGUAAGCGCAGCGAUGCGUUGAGCUAACCGGUACUAAUGAACCGUGAGGCUUAACCUU
Molecule: ribosomal RNA, 2905 nt
Filed under: Escherichia coli
Lineage: Bacteria; Pseudomonadati; Pseudomonadota; Gammaproteobacteria; Enterobacterales; Enterobacteriaceae
Description: 23S ribosomal RNA
Rfam family: Bacterial large subunit ribosomal RNA
Source: RNAcentral